AACAUGGAUUACACGCUGUCAUCUGUUAUGCUUAAACGACCGCCUUCGUCUAUCCGCUUACCUGACACGCCGGGGUCACUCACUCUCUGCAAUGUCCCGCUUCUUGAAGAUGAGGUAACGGCCCCGCACGCACCGCCUGCACGUGUCGACGUGAAUUGCAACCGAGUUAUGACAUCAGAGGAUCCUUUAAAUAGCAGCCACCGCCAACACGACCACCAGACUGUUGGAAGAAGGAAGAGAUUGGUCAUCGUCGCGGCCACCAUCGCCGACGUGUGACCUUGACAGACGGUUGAGGCUGCUGUACGCACCUACCAGGUCAUCAUGAAGAAACAAGUGGCUUUUAUUCUGAUCCUGGUCGUCUUCCUGCCUACGGUGCAUGCCCAAUUGCCACCAAAUAUGGCCUCAUUGCUGCCUCUAGUAAUAGCCCAGUCUGGAGGUAACCCGGGGGUAGUUAGCAGCCUGCUUCCUCUGAUCCUCCCGUCGCUGAUGACGAGCAUGGGCGAGGCCCCUCCCAUGAUGCAGAUGAUGAUGAUGCAGAUGAUGAUGAAGUUAUUUAGUGGUGGUUCUGGUCACGCAGGUGGACCCCAUCAUGCAUUUUAACAGUAUCCUGCGCAGCAUGCCGCAUGCUCUGAUCCAUGCUCGACAACUUUUUGUGCAUUUCCGUAACAACGCGGAUCGACUUACCUCCAUGUCCCUACAGUUUCUCCAAAAAAAGUUCGUUUGAUUAUUUAGGCAGCUAAGAUUGACAUCUGGUGCCUUUUGGUUGGUCUUUUUCUGAUUUCGAAAACACUUCAAUAGUGAAAGAAAAUGAUAUCUUUCUUAAUUCCAGUUGAUCCCGUCUUAGAAACAUGGAUUCUGUUAAAAAUGUUUCAAAAUUAUGUAGCUACAUUUGUGUUUAGUAGGCUAUUGUGUGCCUUUAUUUUCUUUUUACUUAAUAUGUGAUACGAGGACACAAAGAACAAAAAUCCUUCUGCAUUAAAGCGAAACCAUUCAAACUUU
Molecule: long non-coding RNA, 999 nt
Organism: Pomacea canaliculata
Lineage: Eukaryota; Metazoa; Mollusca; Gastropoda; Architaenioglossa; Ampullariidae
Exons: 4
Source: RefSeq, a predicted model, not a curated record